AGACUAAUUACUAGGCAACUCUUAACUGACCAUUUAAGGAAAAACCGAGAGGUUCAUGCUUAAAGGGCAGAAAGAUGAACCUAGUAGCGCUAGAAUAGUUCAUCGGGAUGGCUUGGCGGUAGCGCCUACAACGACGAGCCAA
The submitters of this non-coding RNA (142 nucleotides) gave its source as unclassified sequences. The record is from Rfam.